GCGCAAUGCCCCAAAGAGUGACAGUAGGUCCAGAAACUAACACCUUAACUUUGAGCGCCUAUAACUUCUUCAUAAAAACCCCAAAUGACACAAAAAUUGCACCUAAACCAUAGCCAAAAUCCUAAACCUUCUGACUCCAGCCUCUAAAGUUCGAAUGGCCUCGAGAAACUAACCCUAAUCCCUAAUAUGGCCUCGGGCAGCCUCUUCAAAGCCCAUUGAUCAUGAUUUUUGACCAAUAGAAAUGAAGAUUUUCAUUAUUCAUCUCCAUUCAUCUAUAUUGGUUCCCUAAUUACUCCCUUUGCUACCAAAAUCCUUCUUCAAUCCUUUUUCUUAUAAGAUUUAUAUAAUUUAUGCUCUAAACACCAAAUAAAAGAACCAAAAGAA
This 384-nucleotide long non-coding RNA is filed under the name Physcomitrium patens. RNAcentral's name for it is "long non-coding RNA (PPAT_LNC000387)". The record is from RNAcentral. Lineage: Eukaryota; Viridiplantae; Streptophyta; Bryopsida; Funariales; Funariaceae.